This 444-nucleotide ribosomal RNA is filed under the name Theloderma chuyangsinense (Chu Yang Sin moss frog). RNAcentral's name for it is "partial 16S ribosomal RNA". It matches the Rfam family "Bacterial large subunit ribosomal RNA", at positions 1940 to 2553 of the family's 2925-position model. Lineage: Eukaryota; Metazoa; Chordata; Amphibia; Anura; Rhacophoridae. The record is from RNAcentral.
UCCUAACCGUGCAAAGGUAGCAUAAUCACUUGUUCUUUAAAUAAGGACCUGUAUCAACGGCACCACGAAGGUUGCACUGUCUCCUCCCUCUAAUCAGUGAAACUGAUCUCCCCGUGAAGAAGCGGGGAUACACCUAUAAGACGAGAAGACCCCAUGGAGCUUAAGACCCACAGCAACUCGAUUACAUUUUUCCUCUUAACCUACAGAGCCAUGCAUUUCGGUCUUAGGUUGGGGCGACCGCGGAGUAAAAACUAACCUCCACGAUGAAAAGAACUAAUUCUUUAUCCUAGAGCCACCCCUCCAAGAACUAGUACACUAACGUAAGUGACCCAACUAUUGAUCAACGAACCAAGUUACCCUGGGGAUAACAGCGCAAUCUACUUCAAGAGCCCCUAUCGACAAGUAGGCUUACGACCUCGAUGUUGGAUCAGGGUAUCCCAGUGG